GCCUGACCACCUGCCUACGUGUCAUAGCCAGAGUAUCUUGAAGGGAUCUCUGUGAAGGAAAGUGAGGAUCAGAAGAACAACAUCCUUGCAGCCCUCACAAUCGGGAAGCUGAGAGGCCAUCGCACGGUCGAAGAAAAAUGAGGAUUUCAGGAAUAAUGUGUUUUAUUGUGUCUUAGUAUUUUUAUGAUUUUUCAGGAAGGUAGGAGUACAGACAUACCAAAUUGCGAUAGUUGCAUUAAGACUACUAAAACAGGUAACCAAAUAUCCCAAACUCUCAUCUAGCACUCACAGUAUGAAUGUAAG
Non-coding RNA from Pelobates cultripes (western spadefoot toad), 303 nucleotides. The record is from the annotation of a GenBank genome assembly. Lineage: Eukaryota; Metazoa; Chordata; Amphibia; Anura; Pelobatidae.